This 492-nucleotide ribosomal RNA is filed under the name uncultured bacterium. Its description in RNAcentral is "partial 16S ribosomal RNA". It matches the Rfam family "Bacterial small subunit ribosomal RNA", at positions 29 to 507 of the family's 1533-position model. The record is from RNAcentral.
AGUGAACGCUGGCGGUAGGCCUAACGCAUGCAAGUCGAACGGCAGCACAGUAAGAGCUUGCUCUUACGGGUGGCGAGUGGCGGACGGGUGAGGAAUACAUCGGAAUCUACUUUUUCGUGGGGGAUAACGUAGGGAAACUUACGCUAAUACCGCAUACGACCUACGGGUGAAAGCAGGGGAUCUUCGGACCUUGCGCGAUUGAAUGAGCCGAUGUCGGAUUAGCUAGUUGGCGGGGUAAAGGCCCACCAGGGCGACGAUCCGUAGCUGGUCUGAGAGGAUGAUCAGCCACACUGGAACUGAGACACGGUCCAGACUCCUACGGGAGGCAGCAGUGGGGAAUAUUGGACAAUGGGCGCAAGCCUGAUCCAGCCAUACCGCGUGGGUGAAGAAGGCCUUCGGGUUGUAAAGCCCUUUUGUUGGGAAAGAAAAGCAGCAGGUUAAUACCCCGCUGUUCUGACGGUACCCAAAGAAUAAGCACCGGCUAACUUCGUG